AAGUCGUAACAAGGUUUCCGUAGGUGAACCUGCGGAAGGAUCAUUAACACGUAUCCAAACGUUAAACCCCCCCCGUGAACCUUCAUCGUGCUCUAGUGGGCCACUGAUAAACACAGCAAUUCCUGGUAAAUCAUUGUCUGAACAAGCCUUUGAGUCAGGAACCUCUGUGCAGUGCGAGCUACACCCACUAUAGAAGCGCUAGUUCCAUCGGCAUUGUUUCCAAGCAGCCAGUGCGUGAAAGUGGCAACUGACUGUGCAAGGAUAACGCUUAACGAUUUUGCAGCCGCAACACGAUUGAUAUCUUGGUUCUC
Molecule: unclassified non-coding RNA, 311 nt
Filed under: fungal sp.
Lineage: Eukaryota; Fungi
Description: partial internal transcribed spacer region
Rfam family: Eukaryotic small subunit ribosomal RNA (bases 1-46)
Source: RNAcentral